GUGAGGAAUAUUGCGCAAUGGGCGAAAGCCUGACGCAGCGACGCCGCGUGGGGGAUGAAGGUCUUCGGAUUGUAAACCCCUUUCGGGAGGGAAGAUGGGACGGGCAACCGUUCGGACGGUACCUCCAGAAGCAGCCACGGCUAACUUCGUGCCAGCAGCCGCGGUAAUACGAAGGUGGCAAGCGUUGUUCGGAUUUACUGGGCGUAAAGGGAGCGUAGGCGGUCUGGUAAGCCCUCCGGGAAAUCUCCCGGCCUAACCGGGAAAGGUCGGAGGGGACUGCUUGACUAGAGGGCGGGAGAGGAGCGCGGAAUUCCCGGUGUAGCGGUGAAAUGCGUAGAGAUCGGGAGGAAGGCCGGUGGCGAAGGCGGCGCUCUGGAACGAUCCUGACGCUGAGGCUCGAAAGCGUGGGGAGCAAACAGGAUUAGAUACCCCUGUAGUCC
Molecule: ribosomal RNA, 440 nt
Filed under: uncultured bacterium
Lineage: Bacteria
Description: bacterial SSU rRNA
Rfam family: Bacterial small subunit ribosomal RNA
Source: RNAcentral